GCCAGGCGUGGUGGUGCACACCUGUAGUCCCAGCUCCUUGGGAGGCUGAGGCAGGAGGAUUGCUUGAGCCUAGGAGUUCAAGGCUGCAGUGAACUAUGAUUCCGCCACUGCACUCCAGCCUGGGCAACAGACCAAGAACCUAUCUCUA
Molecule: unclassified non-coding RNA, 148 nt
Organism: Pongo abelii (Sumatran orangutan)
Lineage: Eukaryota; Metazoa; Chordata; Mammalia; Primates; Hominidae
Rfam family: Metazoan signal recognition particle RNA
About the family: The signal recognition particle (SRP) is a universally conserved ribonucleoprotein. It is involved in the co-translational targeting of proteins to membranes. The eukaryotic SRP consists of a 300-nucleotide 7S RNA and six proteins: SRPs 72, 68, 54, 19, 14, and 9.
Source: Ensembl